Long non-coding RNA from Fopius arisanus, 1020 nucleotides. RefSeq lists it as uncharacterized. The transcript has 4 exons. The record is from RefSeq and is a predicted model, not a curated record. Lineage: Eukaryota; Metazoa; Arthropoda; Insecta; Hymenoptera; Braconidae.
AAACCGGUGUUAUCUCGAUAACCGAAUUGUUGAAUUUAUUCUCUUUCCAACGUACGUCUAUCCGAUCGGGUAUAAACCGGAUUACGCGCAGUGCCUGUUUAAUUAUUGACUCAACAAGACGCCUGUUUUUAAUUACUGUAUUUGGACAUAUUUUUCACUCGAUUAGCCACGCAAAUCCGGCAUUUUCCAGACGAGUUAAGCACGCAGUUUACUGUGGAUUUAGCCGCAGGCCCCGGCAAUGUACAUGCGUCAUUCGAGUGCAAGCGUAACUGCCUAAUUAACCCAUGCCAUGUAGAUCACUCCAAAACAGAAUUCAUGUGAAAUUAUUCCAUUUUAAUUCAACGACAAAGAGGCCAUUCACGCUAUUCCGUGUCGAGUUAAUCGAUUAGUGAUAACGACAAAAUACGUAAUAUUGGUUAAUCGUCUUCUACGUCAUUCGCGGAUAUAAUGACUGUCGUUUUUUAGAUCGAUUGAAACUCGAUAGAAUUCAUUGGAUGUGCGGGCACAAGGUCUUGCUCCCCACCACGUAAUUUCCGUUUAUUUUGCUCUGAUGUUGAGAGCUGGAACCAAGGAUGAAUACAUCAUGUGAAGAUCGUCGAGAGGGAAAUGAUCAAGGAUCAUCGAUAAAUUUUCAAUAUCAAUUGAUUUUGGUAACGAAUCGAUAACUCCAGGAGUCCAGAAAUUUUUUGGAUAACUCAGGAAUCGUUGGAGAUACCUGGAACCAGUUUGCACUCGCAAUCUUUUUACACUCACUCUUAAUUAAAUUAGAGAUAGCAGUGCACGGAGGCAUUUCUUGGAGCACCUGUGGACUGCAUUAAAAUACUGCAGUCAACGUGUGAUCAUAAUGAAGGCAAUUGCGAGAGUUUUCGAUGUAAUUAUACCUCCGGGCAUUAUCAGAAUUGCUGUUCUCGCUCCUGGGAUUUUCUCUCAGUUUCCUCCGAUUAUUCUUAAUGAUCGAUGAAAGCCUGUUUGCAACGUCAAUUCGCAAUAAUAAACUUGGGAAUCUCCUUGAAACGAUAA